UGGGGAAUUUUGCGCAAUGACCGAAAGGUUGACGCAGCAACGCCGCGUGUAUGAUGAAGGCUUUCGGGUCGUAAAGUACUUUCAGUGGGGAAGAACUGCAUAAUCAGUAACUGGGUUAUGAUUGACGGUACCCACAGAAGCAGCCCCGGCUAACUCCGUGCCAGCAGCCGCGGUAAUACGGAGGGGGCAGGCGUUGUUCGGAGUCACUGGGCGUAAAGAGCUCGUAGGCGGCAGUGUAAGUCGGGAGUUAAAGGCAACAGCUCAACUGUUGUAAGGCUUCUGAAACUACAUUGCUAGAGUGCCAGAGAGGUAUGCGGAAUUCCCUGUGUAGCGGUGAAAUGCGUAGAUAUAGGGAGGAACACCGGUUGCGAAGGCGGCAUACUGGCUGGUAACUGACGCUGAGGAGCGAAAGCGUGGGUAGCAAACA
This 427-nucleotide ribosomal RNA is filed under the name uncultured Geovibrio sp. RNAcentral describes it as "bacterial SSU rRNA". It matches the Rfam family "Bacterial small subunit ribosomal RNA", at positions 355 to 774 of the family's 1533-position model. The record is from RNAcentral. Lineage: Bacteria; Pseudomonadati; Deferribacterota; Deferribacteres; Deferribacterales; Geovibrionaceae.